Phoenix dactylifera (date palm) is the source of this 441-nucleotide non-coding RNA. NCBI's taxonomy places the organism in Eukaryota, Viridiplantae, Streptophyta, Magnoliopsida, Arecales, Arecaceae. The record is from RefSeq and is a predicted model, not a curated record.
GGGCCCAUCCCUCUUUUUACGUUCGUGCCCUAGGCACGAUCGUGGGAGGAGGCCGUUUGAGGGGUGGGGGCGGCGGCGUUGGAGAGGGCUCGCUGGAGGGCUUUGAGCGCCGGGGAGAGGCGACCAAGAGCUGGCCGGCCAUGGAGAAAGCCGGAAAAGCCUUCCUCCUUCAAGAAGAUCCCCACAAAUCGGUGAAGAGAUCUUGGACCCGUGCUUGUUUGCUCACGGAUUUCCUCCUCCGAUUUCUCGCCAGAAAGGUCGCCGGAACACCCAUCGGACCGAGAGGAAGAGUCGGCGGUGCCAGGAGAUUUUGAUCAGGGGACUCAUCACCCCAGCACGUAGGUUGUGAUUUGGACCGUGUUUGAGUCAGUCUACAAUUUCUGUACUGGAUUCGUAGAAUCUGUCGGAUGGGACAAGAAGUGAGCUCGAACUGGAGUCAGA